AGCUCCCGCAGCUGCUCCUCCCCAGCCCUGCUCUGCAGACCCUUCCCAGCUCUGUUCCUGCAUCACGAAGGCAGAGAAGUCUCUGGCCCUAGCUAGAGGUAGGCUUCUCGGCAGGCAGCCCUCCCCAGGCUCCUCACCCACCACCAGGGGGUUGGAGUGCGAUGGGUUUGGUCUCUUCUGCUGAGUAAGAAGUGGCCUCAGGGUGUCUCAGGGGGACAUUAGAAGAAGCUGCUCCACUGAGAGGGCUCUCAGGGCCUGGCACAGGCUGCCCAGGCAGGUAAACAAUGAGGCCUUCUGCUCUGCAGGCAGUGACAUUUUGGGGCUGUUUUGCAGCAGUUGGUGUCAGCAAGAAAGCCUUGAGAAGCAGAUAUAUACUUUGGCAUUUAGUGCCUUGAAUUGCAUCUGGCAGCAGAAGUUCACCUGGGAGGCUCCAGAGGGGCCCUGCCAGUUUUGUUUCUUGCUCUAACCAUUAGUUGUGGCCAGCAGCCUCCUGUUACCUCCUGUGCUCCUUUGGCUCUGCCACAGUGUGCACAUCUGCCUGGGUGCUGCCCUGUGCGGGCCUGCGUGGUCCUGUGCUGCAGUGGUGGACACAAACUGCACUGUUUGUGGUGUGGUUGGUGGGACAGGGCUGGGGAGAGCUUGGGCUGGAUGAGCUCGGAGGUCUCUUCCGACCUGGCUGAUGCUGUGAGCUCUGGAGAGCUUCAGAUCUGCUGAGGUCUGCUGGAGUGCUGUGGUGUAGCCCCAGCCCUGGCAGAGGUGGAGAGCAGCUGGACUGGAUCACCUUAAAGGGCUCCUCCAGCCGAGGCACCUGUGCUGCCGGGGUGGGUUUGCAGAGCAGCCAGCCUGCAGAGGGGGCUGACAUCGCUCCCGGGGCUGUGCUGCGGGGCCUGGGCAGAGCCCCUUCUCCUCCUGCCCUCACACAAAGCAAACACCUCCUGGGCUGGGGCUUUUAUUCUUGGCGAAGCAGGGAAGCAGGUGGGGGAGAAAAUCAGCGCUUGGCAGAAGAGGCUCAGCAGUGGCCACUUCAGCCAGCCUCGGGAGCAGUCAUCGCACCGCGGCGGUGCGGAGCGAGGGCAGUGCGCCCGGCGGGGCUGCAGGGGCCGCUCCUGGCCUUUGGGAGGGGCUCCUAGGGCCCACUUGAUGAAUUGUUGUGAUCCUCCUGUGCCCCCCACUGGCAGAAGCGUCUGCGUUGUGCUGCUCGGGCUGCAGAGCGGAGAAUCCUCUGGUCCUGCUGCCUGUGCCUUACCCGGCAGCUCGCUCAGGGCAGAAAGGAGUUCGUUAGAGAAGUGCCAGCAGAGGAACUGCCAAGUGUGAAGUUUCUCCUGCAAGAAACAACCAAAACAGAGCUGUCAGGAGUGUUUGUGGUGUGCCCAUGGCCCAGGGAGUGAGGCAGAGCCAACACUGCUGAUGCCAGGAGAAGUGUGAGAGCAUCCAUGGGCUGUGUUGAGGCUCAGCUCAGGAUGAAAAUCACUCUUGACCACCCUCCCUCUGGCUCUGUGUGCUGAUGGCAGCCCUGGUGAGGUCAGGCCUUGCUUGGGGAGCUUGGCCCCUGCUGCUGACUGGAAGGUGCAGCGAAAUGGUGCAGCAAAGGCUCCUGCACCCCCAGAGCCAGCAGCAUGACACAGAAGGCUUUUAGAUGCAGCCCCCCAAUAAAGCUCUUUGCUUUGGUUUAAAA
This is a long non-coding RNA of Pogoniulus pusillus (Red-fronted tinkerbird), 1675 nucleotides long. RefSeq lists it as uncharacterized. The record is from RefSeq and is a predicted model, not a curated record. The transcript is spliced from 2 exons. NCBI's taxonomy places the organism in Eukaryota, Metazoa, Chordata, Aves, Piciformes, Lybiidae.